UACGGAGGGUGCGAGCGUUGUCCGGAUUUAUUGGGUUUAAAGGGUGCGUAGGUGGGAUCGUAAGUCUGAUUUGAAAGCAGGCGGCUUAACCGUCUGAUGUGGUUGGAAACUGCGGUUCUUGAAUGGGUUGGCGGUAGCCGGAAUGGGUCAUGUAGCGGUGAAAUGCAUAGAUAUGACCCGGAACACCGAUUGCGAAGGCAGGCUACUACGACUUGAUUGACACUGAGGCACGAGAGCAUGGGUAGCGAACAGG
RNAcentral lists this ribosomal RNA (253 nucleotides) under uncultured bacterium. Its description in RNAcentral is "partial 16S ribosomal RNA". It matches the Rfam family "Bacterial small subunit ribosomal RNA", at positions 524 to 776 of the family's 1533-position model. The record is from RNAcentral.